RNAcentral lists this ribosomal RNA (1265 nucleotides) under metagenome. RNAcentral describes it as "bacterial SSU rRNA". It matches the Rfam family "Bacterial small subunit ribosomal RNA", at positions 8 to 1263 of the family's 1533-position model. The record is from RNAcentral.
AGAAUUUGAUCUUGGUUCAGAUUGAAUGCUGACGGCGUGGAUGAGGCAUGCAAGUCGAACGAAGUCGCAAGACUUAGUGGCGGAAGGGUUAGGAAUACAUAGGCAACCUACCUUUAACUUUGGAAUAACGGUUGGAAACGACCGCUAAUACCAAAUGUGGUGAGAGAGAGGCAUCUUUUUCUCAUUAAAGUAGGGGAUCUUCGGACCUUGCGGUUAAAGAGGGGCCUAUGCGAUAUCAGCUAGUUGGUGAGGUAAUGGCUCACCAAGGCUAAGACGUCUAGGCGGAUUGAGAGAUUGACCGCCAACACUGGGACUGAGAUACUGCCCAGACUUCUACGGAAGGCUGCAGUCGAGAAUCAUUCGCAAUGGGCGAAAGCCUGACGAUGCGACGCCGUGUGAGCGAUGAAGGCCUUAGGGUUGUAAAGCUCUUUCGGCUGGGAACAAGAGAUGCUAGCUAAUAUCUAGCAAAUUUGAGGGUACCAGCAAAAGAAGCACCGGCUAACUCCGUGCCAGCAGCUGCGGUAAUACGGAGGGUGCAAGCAUUAAUCGGAUUUAUUGGGCGUAAAGGGCGCGUAGGCGGAACGGAAAGUCAGAUGUGAAAUCCUGGGGCUCAACCCCAGAACUGCAUUUGAAACUUCCAUUCUAGAGGGUAGGCGGAGAAAACGGAAUUCCACAAGUAGCGGUGAAAUGCGUAGAUAUGUGGAAGAACACCGGUGGCGAAGGCGGUUUUCUAGCUUAUUCCUGACGCUGAGGCGCGAAAGUAAGGGGAUCAAACAGGAUUAGAUACCCUGGUAGUCCUUACUGUAAACUAUGUAUACUUGGUGUAACCGGACUCAACCCUGGUUGUGCCGUAGCUAACGCGAUAAGUAUACCGCCUGGGGAGUACGCUCGCAAGGGUGAAACUCAAAAGAAUUGACGGGGACCCGCACAAGCAGUGGAGUAUGUGGUUUAAUUCGAUGCAACGCGAAGAACCUUACCCAGACUUGACAUACAGUGGACAGUCACAGAAAUGUGAUCUCUCUUCGGAGCCGCUGAACAGGUGCUGCAUGGCUGUCGUCAGCUCGUGCCGUGAGGUGUUUGGUUAAGUCCAGCAACGAGCGCAACCCUUAUCACUAGUUGCCAACACGUAAUGGUGGGAACUCUAGUGAGACUGCCUGGGUUAACCAGGAGGAAGGUGAGGAUGACGUCAAGUCCGCAUGGCCCUUAUGUCUGGGGCUACACACGUACUACAAUGGUCGGUACAAAAGGCAGCGAAACCGUGAGGU